UGGUAAACAAUUUACGUACUUGUCGAGAAGAGAUUUAAAGGUAUAGUUCUAGGGGUUUUUUUUUCUCUCUUUUUCAUUUUCUUUCAUUUUUAGCUUUCUAAUCAAUCAAUAAGUUUUUGUUCAUGGGGUUAAUUCUCCGCUUUCAGAUUAUGUCUAGAUAUUGUGUUGCUAAAAGCUGAGGUUGUGAACUACUUUUACCCAUUGUAGUUGUCAAUCUAGCUAGAAUAAAGGAUUUGGAUAUUGAUCUUCAAAACUAAUUUCACUUCAGGUUUUUUAUUGUUUAUUUGUCAUGAGAUUAUUGGUGUUCUAUUCUUCAAUGUUGCUUUGUUUUGUAGGUUUAAUCAUGCUCUAAGGUCAGUUGUCAAUAUUAUACAAACUUCACAUAUAUGGCUCUAUUUUGUUGUUUAACUUGCUCUUCUUUUAUAGACAAGAUAUCUUCAUUUUCAGAACUGGCCUGUCAAAUGGAGGUGGUGUCGGGAUCUCCAAUCUUUUAUAUUUGUAUGUGAGAGACAUAAAAGGUGCAUUGUUGGAUAUCUCAUCCCAUCCUGUGGUUGUUGAUGUUGAUGAGAUAUCCAACAAUGAAUCCUUAGUAUAGAAUGAGCAUCAUAUUAACAUCAAUCAUUCGUAUAGAAUUAGCAGUAUUGUAUAAUAAAUUAAGGGCAAAACGAUAUGUUUCUUUAUUUAUUUCAUGAUAGUUGGUUUUGCACCUAAUGUAACUAUGGUAUAUCACUAAUAGUACUUAAAUGUAGAUCCCAUUGAUUGACAUCAUUUUAUUCUUUUUCUUUUUUACAUUCUUCUGUGCUUGCUACAGAGUAAAAUUUUAUGUGGCUGUUUGCUAUAUUCAUGUUGUACUCUCUUUAAGUGAGUUGCACUCUUUUGCUCUGUGAUGUAUGCUUAUAUCCAUGUUGUCUUUGUAGGUUCAACUGGAGUCGACAACUUCAUGAGUUUUCCUUCAAAGAAGUUUAUCUGUACCAUCAAAAUACACUGGCUAGCAUGGUUCAAGCACCAAAGAAUAUUUUCAGAGAUGAAGGCUUAUCGGUUGGUUGUUAUGCUUGUGCAGAAAAUCAUGUUAUAUGUAUUCUAUUGAAAAGAGAGACAACGAGUUCACACCAAUUUACGUGGAAACACGAGUACCGGGAG
This 1140-nucleotide long non-coding RNA is filed under the name Cucumis sativus (cucumber). RNAcentral describes it as "long non-coding RNA (CSAT_LNC001934)". Lineage: Eukaryota; Viridiplantae; Streptophyta; Magnoliopsida; Cucurbitales; Cucurbitaceae. The record is from RNAcentral.